RNAcentral lists this transfer RNA (65 nucleotides) under Solanum tuberosum (potato). It matches the Rfam family "tRNA", at positions 7 to 64 of the family's 71-position model. From Rfam's summary of the family: Transfer RNA (tRNA) molecules are approximately 80 nucleotides in length. Their secondary structure includes four short double-helical elements and three loops (D, anti-codon, and T loops). Further hydrogen bonds mediate the characteristic L-shaped molecular structure. tRNAs have two regions of fundamental functional importance: the anti-codon, which is responsible for specific mRNA codon recognition, and the 3' end, to which the tRNAs corresponding amino acid is attached (by aminoacyl-tRNA synthetases). tRNAs cope with the degeneracy of the genetic code in two manners: having more than one tRNA (with a specific anti-codon) for a particular amino acid; and 'wobble' base-pairing, i.e. permitting non-standard base-pairing at the 3rd anti-codon position. The record is from Rfam by way of RNAcentral. Lineage: Eukaryota; Viridiplantae; Streptophyta; Magnoliopsida; Solanales; Solanaceae.
GGGUAGAGCAGUUUGGUAGCUCGCUAGGCUCAUAACCUUGAGGUCACGAGUUCAAAUCAUGUCUC